RNAcentral lists this unclassified non-coding RNA (380 nucleotides) under uncultured Gammaproteobacteria bacterium. RNAcentral describes it as "contains 16S-23S intergenic spacer region". Lineage: Bacteria; Pseudomonadati; Pseudomonadota; Gammaproteobacteria. The record is from RNAcentral.
UCCCCGUUAUCCGAGGCGGUUUCGCUAGAGUGCCCGACAUUACUCGCUGGCAACUAACGAUAAGGGUUGCGCUCGUUGCGGGACUUAACCCAACAUCUCACGACACGAGCUGACGACAGCCAUGCAGCACCUGUGUUCCGAUUCCCUUUCGGGCACAACCGGAUCUCUCCGGCCUCUCGGACAUGUCAAGGGUAGGUAAGGUUUUUCGCGUUGCAUCGAAUUAAACCACAUAAUCCACCGCUUGUGCGGGUCCCCGUCAAUUCCUUUGAGUUUUAACCUUGCGGCCGUACUCCCCAGGCGGUCAACUUCACGCGUUAGCUGCGUUACUAAGGGAUGUAAUCCCCCAACAACUAGUAGACAUCGUUUAGGGCGUGGACUAC